UGGCGGACGGGUGAGUAACACGUGGGUGAUCUGCCCUGCACUUCGGGAUAAGCUUGGGAAACUGGGUCUAAUACCGAAUAUGACCACUUCUUGGAUGUUGUGGUGGAAAGCUUUUGCGGUGUGGGAUGAGCCUGCGGCCUAUCAGCUUGUUGGUGGGGUAAUGGCCUACCAAGGCGGCGACGGGUAUCCGGCCUGAGAGGGUGUACGGACACAUUGGGACUGAGAUACGGCCCAGACUCCUACGGGAGGCAGCAGUGGGGAAUAUUGCACAAUGGGCGCAAGCCUGAUGCAGCGACGCCGCGUGGGGGAUGAAGGCCUUCGGGUUGUAAACUCCUUUCGCUAGGGACGAAGCUUUUUGUGACGGUACCUAGAUAAGAAGCACCGGCUAACUACGUGCCAGCAGCCGCGGUAAU
RNAcentral lists this ribosomal RNA (413 nucleotides) under uncultured bacterium. RNAcentral's name for it is "bacterial SSU rRNA". It matches the Rfam family "Bacterial small subunit ribosomal RNA", at positions 96 to 524 of the family's 1533-position model. The record is from RNAcentral.